Molecule: long non-coding RNA, 837 nt
Organism: Protopterus annectens (West African lungfish)
Lineage: Eukaryota; Metazoa; Chordata; Ceratodontiformes; Protopteridae
Exons: 3
Source: RefSeq, a predicted model, not a curated record
GCAGAGGCUUCCAGCCUAUGAUGUCCAGGAGACAGUAGCCAUAACUGAGGCCAUCCUGGAACACUACCAUGUCCUCUUCAGUUGGGGUCACCAACAUCAGUGGGAGAGGACAGCCCUCUGGGAAGACAUCACACAGUGAUUGAACACCUUGGGGAACUAUGGCUGCAGGUAUGAAUAGGUCAGGCACAGAGCAUGGCAACGGGCUGCUGUCGUGGUGAGGGACCAUUCCACUACUAGUGGGGGGCCAGCCAGAGAGGCUCCACUUACAGAAAUGGAGGAGCUCCUUGCCAACUUUGGGGUGAGCCUCAGAGAACAACCACUACAAGAUGUAGCUGUUGUGGAGGUGGGUGCCACCCAGGAAACCAGCGAAUAGCAUCCAGGUACCAUGAGGCACAGCAGCCUGAGGCUGAAAUAUCAUUUAUACUAUGAAACAUCAAUUUCCAAAAUCCUGAAGAUCAGAAAUGGCAAAAAGUAAUGCCUGCAACACAAAAGAGUGAACAAAUUAGCUGUAAUUGUUUUUAUAUAUAUAUGUUGUUAUAUAUGUUAUUUUUUUUUUAGAAAGGCAAGCCCCCCACACCUCACAAGCAUAUCUAUAUCAACUCCAUAGUCACACCAACUUGAAUAAGGAAGAAAUGUUUAAAAAUAAGUAAAUAAUUCCUGCCAUACAGUUAGAAAUCACACUGGCAAUUAUUUCUAAUGGUUAAAAGAGAUCAAGGUGAUGUUCCUGUUUUUUCUUUAGGCUACUGAUUCUUGAGCAAUUUCAGUUUGAUCAACUGUCCAUAUUUUCACAGAAUGUCCAGACUUUUGUCUGUUAUUUUUGGUCCAUUCCUCAUAAAA